This 433-nucleotide ribosomal RNA is filed under the name uncultured bacterium. RNAcentral's name for it is "partial 16S ribosomal RNA". It matches the Rfam family "Bacterial small subunit ribosomal RNA", at positions 32 to 507 of the family's 1533-position model. The record is from RNAcentral.
AACCAACGCUGGCGGCAUGCCUAACACAUGCAAGUCGAACGAGACCUUCGGGUCUAGUGGCGCACGGGUGCGUAACGCGUGGGAAUCUGCCCUUCGGUUGGGAAUAACUGAGAGAAAUUUCAGCUAAUACCUUAUAAUGUCUUCGGACCAAAGAUUUAUCGCCGAGGGAUGAGCCCGCGUAGGAUUAGGUAGUUGGUGGGGUAAUGGCCUACCAAGCCGACGAUCCUUAGCUGGUCUGAGAGGAUGAUCAGCCACACUGGGACUGAGACACGGCCCAGACUCCUACGGGAGGCAGCAGUGGGGAAUAUUGGACAAUGGGAGAAAGCCUGAUCCAGCAAUGCCGCGUGAGUGAUGAAGGCCUUAGGGUUGUAAAGCUCUUUUACCCGGGAUGAUAAUGACAGUACCGGGAGAAUAAGCUCCGGCUAACUCCGUG